UAGGGAAUCUUCCGCAAUGGGCGAAAGCCUGACGGAGCAACGCCGCGUGAGUGAUGAAGGUCUUCGGAUCGUAAAACUCUGUUAUUAGGGAAGAACAAAUGUGUAAGUAACUAUGCACGUCUUGACGGUACCUAAUCAGAAAGCCACGGCUAACUACGUGCCAGCAGCCGCGGUAAUACGUAGGUGGCAAGCGUUAUCCGGAAUUAUCGGGCGUAAAGCGCGCGUAGGCGGUUUUUUAAGUCUGAUGUGAAAGCCCACGGCUCAACCGUGGAGGGUCAUUGGAAACUGGAAAACUUGAGUGCAGAAGAGGAAAGUGGAAUUCCAUGUGUAGCGGUGAAAUGCGCAGAGAUAUGGAGGAACACCAGUGGCGAAGGCGACUUUCUGGUCUGUAACCGACGCUGAUGUGCGAAAGCGUGGGGAUCAAACAGG
Molecule: ribosomal RNA, 429 nt
Filed under: Actinomycetes bacterium
Lineage: Bacteria; Bacillati; Actinomycetota; Actinomycetes
Description: Actinobacteria bacterium partial 16S ribosomal RNA
Rfam family: Bacterial small subunit ribosomal RNA
Source: RNAcentral